Molecule: long non-coding RNA, 608 nt
Organism: Oncorhynchus tshawytscha (Chinook salmon)
Lineage: Eukaryota; Metazoa; Chordata; Actinopteri; Salmoniformes; Salmonidae
Exons: 4
Source: RefSeq, a predicted model, not a curated record
CCUCAAUGUGGCGGCCUAUGUUAAUACAUGCCUAUUGGCUACUAGAGGCCUCUAUCAUUCUCUAUGGGCUGAGCGGGAGGAAAACAGUUGAUCAGAACCAGGAAAUAGUCAAUAGUUUGAACUGUUUGUUAGACCGCGCUAAACAACGACAAAACACGAGUGUAUCCCAGGUUCUCGGGGGCUGUGACGAACAUCUCAGCGUUGGUGACGGGUGGCCAGAAUGGAACCAUGUUGAACUGUCUGUUGUGACCAAUAGGAGCAUCCUCCUCCGGGUACACUGCCUCCCCUGGGGGACGACAUGAACCUUAGCCGAGAGCUGGCAGUGGCUGGGUGUGGGUCUGCAGACGCUUUCCCCAUUGGUCUGUUUGACUGAAUUGUUUGUGUUCUGUGAUUGGCUGCAGUUGUGACAUACUAUACCUGGGGCGUGUCGGCUCAGCCACUCAUCAAAGAUGGCGUCAGUGAAGGUGUGGAGCAGGACAAAGAUGGGGUCGUUAGGGGACAGGUGUGUCUGCCCUCCCGUCCCGUUGAGGAACAGCUCUCUGAAGAGGUGGAGUAGUAAGAUAUCCUCUGAUCACAGUUAGGUCCGGUGAGUCCAUACCGGCAUCGGC